Molecule: ribosomal RNA, 605 nt
Filed under: Bacillus sp. (in: firmicutes)
Lineage: Bacteria; Bacillati; Bacillota; Bacilli; Caryophanales; Bacillaceae
Description: bacterial SSU rRNA
Rfam family: Bacterial small subunit ribosomal RNA
Source: RNAcentral
CGUAGCGGACAUUUUAUUGGUGCUUGCACCUUUAAAAUUUUAGCGGCGGACGGGUGAGUAACACGUGGGUAACCUACCUUAUAGAUUGGGAUAACUCCGGGAAACCGGGGCUAAUACCGAAUAAUACUUUUUAACACAUGUUUGAAAGUUGAAAGACGGUUUCGGCUGUCACUAUAAGAUGGACCCGCGGCGCAUUAGCUAGUUGGUGAGGUAACGGCUCACCAAGGCAACGAUGCGUAGCCGACCUGAGAGGGUGAUCGGCCACACUGGGACUGAGACACGGCCCAGACUCCUACGGGAGGCAGCAGUAGGGAAUCUUCCACAAUGGACGAAAGUCUGAUGGAGCAACGCCCCGUGAGUGAAGAAGGAUUUCGGUUCGUAAAACUCUGUUGCAAGGGAAAAACAAGUAGCGUAGUAACUGGCGCUACCUUGACGGUACCUUGUUAAAAAGCCACGGCUAACUACGUGCCAGCAGCCGCGGUAAUACGUAGGUGGCAAGCGUUGUCCGGAAUUAUUGGGCGUAAAGCGCGCCCAGGUGGUUCCCUAAGGCGGAAGGGAAAGCCCCCGGCUCCCCCGGGGAGGGUCCUUUGAAGCUGGGGAACUUG